AGUGAACGCUGGCGGUAGGCCUAACACAUGCAAGUCGAACGGCAGCACAGUAAGAGCUUGCUCUUACGGGUGGCGAGUGGCGGACGUGUGAGGAAUACAUCGGAAUCUACUUUUUCGUGGGGGAUAACGUAGGGAAACUUACGCUAAUACCGCAUACGACCUACGGGUGAAAGCAGGGGAUCUUCGGACCUUGCGCGAUUGAAUGAGCCGAUGUCGGAUUAGCUAGUUGGCGGGGUAAAGGCCCACCAAGGCGACGAUCCGUAGCUGGUCUGAGAGGAUGAUCAGCCACAUUGGAACUGAGACACGGUCCAGACUCCUACGGGAGGCAGCAGUGGGGAAUAGUGGACAAUGGGCGCAAGCCUGAUCCAGCCAUACCGCGUGGGUGAAGAAGGCCUUCGGGUUGUAAAGCCCUUUUGUUGGGAAAGAAAAGCAGCAGGUUAAUACCCCGCGGUUCUGACGGUACCCAAAGAAUAAGCACCGGCUAACUUCGUG
This 492-nucleotide ribosomal RNA is filed under the name uncultured bacterium. Its description in RNAcentral is "partial 16S ribosomal RNA". It matches the Rfam family "Bacterial small subunit ribosomal RNA", at positions 29 to 507 of the family's 1533-position model. The record is from RNAcentral.